Molecule: long non-coding RNA, 839 nt
Organism: Chrysemys picta bellii (western painted turtle)
Lineage: Eukaryota; Metazoa; Chordata; Testudines; Emydidae
Source: RefSeq, a predicted model, not a curated record
UCUAUUUCCUCUGCUUCCACUUCAUUCUGAUCGUCCGCAGCUUCUGCCUAACUCAGCGGGGCUUCAACCCACUGCUGGGCUACCAGACCCUUUUCCUGCGGAGGUUCCAGCCCGGCGCACGGCUCUUCAUUCCCUGGGAAGCAGGUUUCUCCCCUCCUCCAGUAUAAUCCCACGGGGCAUAAUUCACGUUGUCCGGGACCAGACUGCCCAUACUUGUGCCGUGCCCCGCCCCCCUCCUCCUCGGACAGUGACACACAACGGGAUCCAGUGUCUCCAGGGGCUGGAUCUGGUAAUGGCAGACUGCUUAUUUCUAGCAUUACCAAUGUUGCCUUACAUAGCUCCCAUGAACUACUGUGGCUUAGGUGUCUUCACUUCUCUGAAGUACAGAGUCCAGUUGAUGGUGCAUCCCAGAAUUGUCAUCCAAAUGAUGUUCUCUAGGAAAGGUCAGAUACAUUCCAGAGAUGGAGGAGCCAAGGAAGGAGGAAAAGCAGCCUGAGAACAAAGGGCCUCAGACCACAGAAGGGCAGACACAAGAGUGCCUCAUAACUGGUGAACAUGGAAAAUCCCCAGUGGAAGAACAGAAAGAGAAAAUGUCAGACUAUUUUCAGAAGAGUCAAGCAAGCUGUCUAAACAAAGGGUGCUAUUCCAUCACUACAAACAGAAGAUACAGCUGGAGGAGGGGGAGCAGAAAGGACUUUUGCCUUUCCCAAAGACCUGACCAAACCCGAAGACUCUCGGCAGUGGUGAGAACUCCAAAGGGGGAUGGCAUUUAUUGUUUGUUUUGCCUAGAUCCAUAACUCUCCUGUGCUGUCUAAGAAUUAAAUAUAUGUGUUUAAGAA